CUCUCUCUCUCUCUCUCUCUCUUUCUCUCUGACAUUCCUGUCUGUUUGGAGUUCUGCAGAGCCGUCACCAGGAGGCUCUGUGGCCCUUACAAUGUAAACCCUGUUGGGUUUAUGCUGUUGAUCAUUAUUCACUGCUAAGACUUCUGGGCUCUGGAGUUGUGGGAGAGUGCCCACUCAGAGGAGGGGAGCACGAACACAUUGAUCUUAUUUGGACAGGCUUUUGUCUGGGACACAUCCAAACCCAAACAGCCAAGGGAAGGACCACAACAGGGUUUUAUGGUGGAAAAAUACCCUGAAUGGUGCUGAUCCAAGCCGGAGGAUGGAUGAUGACUGCUCAUGAACUCAUGGAGGAAAACAGUAAAUAAUCAAAACAGUGCUUUAGGGUGAAACUGUGGUGACCUAGUGAGUUGCUGUGUUAGACAGGUAGACAGUUAUACACAAGCUGUAUACAUUUACUGUACACUACAAACUAAACUAGGGCUCCAGCCUGAAAAAUGACUUCAACUGUUAAUAAACUAUUAAAAAAGUGGCUUAUUAAUUUUCUGUCGAUUGAAUUAGCUUAGGAGACAUUGUUAUUCAAUUAGAUAGAAAGAGCUGAUAUACCAAACAGACCUAAAGACUGCAAUGUUCAUUAAAACCACACAAAAGUGAUGAACUGAACAAACACAGCGCUGAUUUUUCUAGACUUUUCUGUAGAGACGCUAAAAAAGUGUGAGCACUAGAAGAAACCCAAAUGGUUUAUCUCUGUGAAUGUGUUCAGCAAAUGUCACGGCAAUCUGCCAACUGCAUGAUGGGAUGAUUUGGCCUAAGGACGGUGGUAGAGGAAAGCUCAUGCAACAAAAAAGGGUUCAUCCUCUGGGGGUCAUGAAUUUCCUCAGUAAAUUUCAUGGCCGUUGUCAUUUGAAUAUUCAUUUUUAUUAUGUGUGGAAAUGUUGGCCUGUUUGUGUGGCACGAGAUGAAAGAUCAAGGGGUCUCUAAAUGUAUUAGGAACCAUAUGAGGACCAUGAAUAUACACUAGUUGAUAUAUAUUCUGUGUUGAGCAGAUUGACUGUUUCAGGUCAACACACACCAAAAAUGUUACUAUUUAGCAACAAAACAUUUACACACAAACAAAUGCUCUGCAUAUUUUGUCGUGACUGUCAAACAUUCAACCCUGUUCCAUUUGUGCUCGUGUGUGGGUUUCUUCUGUUUUAGUAAGGUGAAAUUAUUCAAUUUUCAUUUUAUUAUUCAUGUUCAAGGAUUGCUCUAGUUAAAAAAAAUUAAAUGUGGAAAAUUGCAAAGCAACAUGCUCCUGCCUUUAUCUGCCAUCUUUUUAGAAUAAGUUAAUGCUCAACCGGUUGCAUGGGGAUAACAUCAGACAUGUAUUCCUGCAGCUUUAUGGUUUAUUGGCUGUUAUGUUUUGACUGGAUCGUUAUCUUCGGCUGCAUCAAAUAAGCACUUACCUGGAUGCUUUAAAAAUUAUUCAAAGUACUCAUUCACAUUCUUAUCAGCCAUUUGGAAAAAAGGAAACUAUGGGUGUUCCUCAGUCUGUUUUGCUUUGUUCUGAUUGUCCCCAAAAAUGUCACAGCAGGGGAAAAAUGGACACUUAGCAACAUUUUCACGUAAUCCCUUUAGAUGUGCAUUUGGAAAACAAAAAUAUCACAUAGGUCUUGUAUUUAAUUUGUGUGUGAUCUCUGAAAAAGUUGUGUACCUGAAGAGAGGUUUCACUCAAGAACCAAUUCAUAAAUGAGCUUAUAUGGACAAAGAACUAUCUAGCAUCUAAGUUAUGCAGUAGUCAGGUAAAGUCAAGGCAGUUGUAUUAAUAUAGCCCAAUACCACAAGUCACAAUUCAAGGGGCUAAACAAGCUGUAUAGCAUACAACACCCUCUAUCCUUUGACCCUUGAUUCGGAUAAGGAAUUGAAAAAUACAAAUAUAGAAGGUCUUCAGGUACAUCAAAUAUGAUCAAACCUGAGUACAUCACUUGUUUUGUGAAAGAUUCCUGGUAAUAAACUCAUACAAUUGGCU
This is a long non-coding RNA of Perca fluviatilis (European perch), 2005 nucleotides long. RefSeq lists it as uncharacterized. The transcript has 3 exons. NCBI's taxonomy places the organism in Eukaryota, Metazoa, Chordata, Actinopteri, Perciformes, Percidae. The record is from RefSeq and is a predicted model, not a curated record.